Molecule: ribosomal RNA, 405 nt
Filed under: uncultured bacterium
Lineage: Bacteria
Description: bacterial SSU rRNA
Rfam family: Bacterial small subunit ribosomal RNA
Source: RNAcentral
UAGGGAAUUUUCCACAAUGGACGAAAGUCUGAUGGAGCAACGCCGCGUGCAGGAUGAAUGCCUUCGGGUUGUAAACUGCUUUUAUCUGUGACGAUUUUGACGGUAGCAGAUGAAUAAGGAUCGGCUAACUCCGUGCCAGCAGCCGCGGUCAUACGGAGGAUCCAAGCGUUAUCCGGAAUUACUGGGCGUAAAGAGUUGUGUAGGCGGUUUGUUAAGCAAAUAGUGAAAGCGUGGGGCUCAACCUCAUAUCCAUUAUUUGAACUGGCAGACUAGAGUGUGGAAGAGGUAGCUGGAAUUCCUAGUGUAGGAGUGAAAUCCGUAGAUAUUAGGAGGAACACCGAUGGCGUAGGCAGGCUACUGGUCCAUUACUGACGCUCAGACACGAAAGCAUGGGGAGCGACCGGG